This 21-nucleotide non-coding RNA is filed under the name Xenopus laevis (African clawed frog). RNAcentral also lists the same sequence under 3 other names. Lineage: Eukaryota; Metazoa; Chordata; Amphibia; Anura; Pipidae. The record is from RNAcentral.
CAUUGCACUUGUCUCGGUCUG